CUGCAAGCCCCCAGCAUGUUUGGGUCUGGAAGAACAUUUUGAAAUGGUUUGAGGCCUUGCCCUAUUCCAUCCAGAGCAAGGUUAUGAUUGUUUUCUUCCAUAU
RNAcentral lists this small nucleolar RNA (103 nucleotides) under Ursus maritimus (polar bear). RNAcentral describes it as "Small nucleolar RNA SNORA9 (ENSUMAG00000019858.1)". Lineage: Eukaryota; Metazoa; Chordata; Mammalia; Carnivora; Ursidae. The record is from RNAcentral.